CAUGCAAGUCGAACGGAAAGGCUCUUUCGGGAGUGCUCGAGUGGCGAACGGGUGAGUAACACGUGGGUGAUCUGCCCUGCACUUUGGGAUAAGCCUGGGAAACUGGGUCUAAUACCGAAUAGGACCACGCGCUUCAUGGUGUGUGGUGGAAAGCUUUUGCGGUGUGGGAUGGGCCCGCGGCCUAUCAGCUUGUUGGUGGGGUAAUGGCCUACCAAGGCGACGACGGGUAGCCGGCCUGAGAGGGUGACCGGCCACACUGGGACUGAGAUACGGCCCAGACUCCUACGGGAGGCAGCAGUGGGGAAUAUUGCACAAUGGGCGCAAGCCUGAUGCAGCGACGCCGCGUGAGGGAUGACGGCCUUCGGGUUGUAAACCUCUUUCACCAGGGACGAAGCGUAAGUGACGGUACCUGGAGAAGAAGCACCGGCCAACUACGUGCCAGCAGCCGCGGUAAUACGUAGGGUGCGAGCGUUGUCCGGAAUUACUGGGCGUAAAGAGCUCGUAGGUGGUUUGUCGCGUUGUUCGUGAAAACUCACA
This 537-nucleotide ribosomal RNA is filed under the name uncultured Mycobacterium sp. RNAcentral describes it as "bacterial SSU rRNA". It matches the Rfam family "Bacterial small subunit ribosomal RNA", at positions 54 to 606 of the family's 1533-position model. Lineage: Bacteria; Bacillati; Actinomycetota; Actinomycetes; Mycobacteriales; Mycobacteriaceae. The record is from RNAcentral.